Molecule: ribosomal RNA, 830 nt
Filed under: uncultured archaeon
Lineage: Archaea
Description: bacterial SSU rRNA
Rfam family: Archaeal small subunit ribosomal RNA
Source: RNAcentral
GGGCCACUGCUAUCGGAGUUCGAUUAAGCCAUGCGAGACGAGAGGUGUAAGACCUCGGCAUACUGCUCAGUAACACGUGGACAACCUACCCUGAAGUGAGGGAUAACCCCGGGAAACUGGGGAUAAUACCUCAUAGACUAUGGAUGCUGGAAUGCUCUGUAGUUCAAAGGUCCGCCGCUUCAGGAUGGGUCUGCGGCCGAUUAGGUAGUUGUUGGGGUAACGGCCCAACAAGCCUGUAAUCGGUACGGGUUGUGGGAGCAAGAGCCCGGAGAUGGAUUCUGAGACACGAAUCCAGGCCCUACGGGGCGCAGCAGGCGCGAAAACUUUACAAUGCGAGCAAUCGUGAUAAGGGAACUCCGAGUGCCUGUAAAAUCGGGCUGUCCACCAGUUUAAAUAACUGAUGAAGAAAGGGCCGGGCAAGACCGGUGCCAGCCGCCGCGGUAAUACCGGCGGCUCGAGUGGUGGCCACUAUUACUGGGCUUAAAGCGUUCGUAGCUGGUUUGUUAAGUCUCUGGGGAAAUCUUCCGGCUUAACCGGAAGGCGUCUCAGGGAUACUGGCAGACUAGGGACCGGGAGAGGUGAGGGGUACUCCAGGGGUAGGAGUGAAAUCCUGUAAUCCUUGGGGGACCACCUGUGGCGAAGGCGCCUCACCAGAACGGCUCCGACAGUGAGGGACGAAAGCUGGGGGAGCAAACCGGAUUAGAUACCCGGGUAGUCCCAGCUGUAAACGAUGCGCGUUAGGUGUAUCGGUGACCACGAGUCACCGAGGUGCCGAAGAGAAAUCGUGAAACGUGCCGCCUGGGAAGUACGGUCGCAAGGCUGAAACUUAA